ACUCUAGUAGCUUAUAUUUUAGAGCAUAGCGCUGAAGACGCUAGGGAGACAACUAUUGUCCUGGAGUA
This 68-nucleotide transfer RNA is filed under the name Alviniconcha marisindica. RNAcentral describes it as "tRNA-Phe". Lineage: Eukaryota; Metazoa; Mollusca; Gastropoda; Provannidae. The record is from RNAcentral.